AAUGUUGGGUUAAGUCCGCAACGAGCGCAACCCUUAUCCUUGUUUGCCAGCACGUAAUGGUNGGAACUCCAGGGAGACUGCCGGUGAUAAACCGGAGGAAGGUGGGGACGACGUCAAGUCAUCAUGGCCCUUACGAGUAGGGCUACACACGUGCUACAAUGGCGCAUACAGAGGGCAGCAAGCUAGCGAUAGUGAGCGAAUCCCAAAAAGUGCGUCGUAGUCCGGAUUGGAGUCUGCAACUCGACUCCAUGAAGUCGGAAUCGCUAGUAAUCGUGAAUCAGAAUG
This 285-nucleotide ribosomal RNA is filed under the name uncultured Gammaproteobacteria bacterium. RNAcentral describes it as "partial 16S ribosomal RNA". It matches the Rfam family "Bacterial small subunit ribosomal RNA", at positions 1071 to 1356 of the family's 1533-position model. The record is from RNAcentral. Lineage: Bacteria; Pseudomonadati; Pseudomonadota; Gammaproteobacteria.